CAAUGGGCGCAAGCCUGAUCCCGCCAUGCCGCGUGUGUGAUGAAGGCCUUAGGGUCGUAAAGCACUUUCGCCAGAGAUGAUAAUGACAGUAUCUGGUAAAGAAACCCCGGCUAACUCCGUGCCAGCAGCCGCGGUAAUACUGAGGGGGUUAGCGUUGUUCGGAAUUACUGGGCGUAAAGCGCACGUAGGCGGAUUAGUCAGUCAGAGGUGAAAUCCCAGGGCUCAACCCUGGAACUGCCUUUGAUACUGCUAGUCUUGAGUUCGAGAGAGGUGAGUGGAAUUCCGAGUGUAGAGGUGAAAUUCAUAUAUAUUCGGAGGAACACCAUUGGCGAAGGCGGCUCACUGGCUCGAUACUGACGCUG
RNAcentral lists this ribosomal RNA (362 nucleotides) under uncultured Alphaproteobacteria bacterium. RNAcentral describes it as "bacterial SSU rRNA". It matches the Rfam family "Bacterial small subunit ribosomal RNA", at positions 369 to 748 of the family's 1533-position model. The record is from RNAcentral. Lineage: Bacteria; Pseudomonadati; Pseudomonadota; Alphaproteobacteria.